RNAcentral lists this ribosomal RNA (1459 nucleotides) under human gut metagenome. RNAcentral describes it as "bacterial LSU rRNA". It matches the Rfam family "Bacterial large subunit ribosomal RNA", at positions 832 to 2317 of the family's 2925-position model. The record is from RNAcentral.
AUCGAACCCGGAGAUAGCUGGUUCUCCUCGAAAUAGCUUUAGGGCUAGCCUCAUACAAGUCUUGCGGAGGUAGAGCACUGAAUUCCUACGGGGGCGUCAAAGCUUACCAAGGGAUAUCAAACUCCGAAUGCCGUGUAGAUGAUGUAUGGGAGUCAGACUAUCCGAGAUAAGUUGGGUAGUCGAAAGGGAAAGAGCCCAGACCUGCAGCUAAGGCCCCAAAAUGUGUGUUAAGUGGAAAAGGAUGUGGGAUUUCGAAGACAACUAGGAUGUUGGCUUAGAAGCAGCCAUCCAUUAAAAGAGUGCGUAAUAGCUCACUAGUCGAGAGGUCCUGCGCCGAAAAUGUCCGGGGCUGAAACACACUACCGAAGCUUGGGAAUUGACGAAUGUUAAUUGGUAGAGGAGCAUUCUUAACGGGGCGAAGCUGUACCGGAAGGAGCAGUGGACUGUUAAGAAGAGAGAAUGCCGGAAUGAGUAGCGAGAGGAAGGUGAGAAUCCUUCCGGCCGAAUAUCUAAGGUUUCCAGAGUAAAGCUGAUCUGCUCUGGGUAAGUCGGGGCCUAAGGCGAGGUCGAAAGACGUAGUCGAUGGAUAACAGGUAAAGAUUCCUGUACUAUAUCAUAACAGAACUGUGGGGACGCAGACAGAGAGCAUAAGCCGGGAAUGGAAAGACCGGUACAAGCGAGGUAGGAGUGCAUCAGGCAAAUCCGGUGCACAAUCUGAAGACGUGAUGUGGGGCGUAAAGCCGGAAGUAUGUGAGCUGGCUGCCAAGAAAAGCCGCUAUUGUUUAUGAUAUACCCGUACCGUAAACCGACACAGGUGGAUGAGGAGAGAAUCCUAAGGCCGACGGGAGAAGCAUUGUUAAGGAACUCGGCAAAAUGACUCCGUAACUUCGGGAGAAGGAGUGCCAUGUAAAAGUGGCCGCAGAGAAUUGGCCCAAGCAACUGUUUAGCAAAAACACAGGUCUAUGCAAAACCGAAAGGUGAGGUAUAUGGGCUGACGCCUGCCCGGUGCUGGAAGGUUAAGGGGAGAGGUUAGCCGUAAGGCGAAGCUUUGAACUUAAGCCCCAGUAAACGGCGGCCGUAACUAUAACGGUCCUAAGGUAGCGAAAUUCCUUGUCGGGUAAGUUCCGACCCGCACGAAAGGCGUAAUGAUUUGGGCACUGUCUCAACAAUGCACCCGGUGAAAUUGAAAUACCAGUGAAGAUGCUGGUUACCUGCGCCAGGACGGAAAGACCCCAUGGAGCUUUACUCCAGCUUGAUACUGGGAUUCGAUAUUGCAUGUACAGGAUAGGUGGGAGACUAGGAAGUGGUGACGCCAGUUGCCAUGGAGUCAAUGUUGGGAUACCACCCUUGCAGUAUUGGGUUUCUAACCAGCAGCCGUGAUCCGGCUGGGGGACAAUGUCAGGUGGGGAGUUUGACUGGGGCGGUCGCCUCCGAAAGGGUAUCGGAGGCGCUCAAAGGU